RNAcentral lists this non-coding RNA (228 nucleotides) under Herbinix sp. RNAcentral describes it as "T-box sequence". It matches the Rfam family "T-box leader". From Rfam's summary of the family: Uncharged tRNA acts as the effector for transcription antitermination of genes in the T-box leader family. T-boxes are found upstream of many aminoacyl-tRNA synthetase genes and some amino acid biosynthetic genes usually in Gram-positive bacteria. The record is from RNAcentral. Lineage: Bacteria; Bacillati; Bacillota; Clostridia; Lachnospirales; Lachnospiraceae.
UAAAAAGCUGUGAAAAGGAGUAUUAAGAGAAUAUGUGCUUAUAGAGAGCUGCCGGUAGGUGGAAGGCAGUAGCAACAGUCUCCCAACUCGCCUUGGAGCUUCCCAGUUGAAUAUGUAGUAGGCUGGGACGGUUUUUCCCGUUAUAGAAAAUGAGUGCAUAAUAAGCAUGUGAUUUAUGCUUAUUAUGAAAUAGAGUGGUACCACGGAAUUUAACCUUUCGUCUCUUGU